UCUACAUGUGAAUUUAUUGAUGCAAUACAACCUUGUUAUGUAUAGCAACAUGGGCUUCAUCCAGUACAUUAUAACUCUCGACAUUUAACAGAUCUGAAAUAACUACAUAAAUUAUAUAAAUAGUAACAGGCAAUAGAGAUAAAUAACUAGUAACACACAAAGGAUAUAACUAACAUAAAAAUAUACAAAAAGUAAAAAUAUUACUAACAUAACAUGUUAUAAGUACGAAUAUAGAUGGUCAAUAUAUGUAAUGAAUUAUGGUAGCAUUUACCCGCUUUGUAUUUUGUAGAGUGGAGAGGUCAUGGCGACUCCAUAGCGAUACCUAGGUAUGUACUGGACCCAAUCAAAAGAUCAUAAUACCAGACGUAUUUGAUCCAAUUAUGUUCCGAUCUAAUUAAUAUAAUCAAUUAAAUCAGUAAUAACACUAAUUUCAUAAUCAAAAAUAUUUCCAAACUGCAAAAUGAUGUGUUGACCAUGUGGACAACUAGUAAGCCUUCCACAAUCCAGCAGAAUUAGGGAUAUCCAGUUGAAUGCAAUGUCCAUAUGAAGGUAUUGGCUCUACAGCAUACAUUUAAAUGUAUUGUCAACUAUUUUUGUUACAAGAUUUUAGUAAACAUAUUUUUAUUUUGAAUAUGAAAGAAAUGUACACGAUAUCCAACAGAACAUCAGUCAACAUAAUCAAAAGGUAAAAUAAAAACAAAACAAUCUUGGAAAUGUCAUAUUCAGGUGGGCAAAUGAAAUAAAUAAGUAUUAAAAACAAGUACAGUACUAAGAACAAGUAUCACAGUAAAUAUAGGUACAUGUAUCAUGGAAAAUUAAAAAUCAUCGCUGAAUCAUGUUCCAAACAACGUUUAAUCUGUCAAUGAUAGAAACAAAACAAACAACAUCGUAUUGUGUUAGGCAUCACCACCUAAUCCACAUAAAGGUAAAGGAAUGUUGUACAAAACAGGAUAAUUAGUUUUAGAUAAAAAGUGUAUAUGUAUAGAUUUCUUUUAGAAUUUAAAUCAACACUGUACACUUACACAUAUCAGGAACUUCAUAUGGCUUUCAUUUUUAACUGCUGGGCUAUAUAGACUUUUAUAUCUCAAUGAUUGCCAUCCCGACUCAAAAAUAUUGUAUUAAUACUAAGAGUAUAUAGACCUUUCUGUUUUGAUAAAAUGUACAUGUGAAAAUGUAAUUUUAGUAUUGUGAAAUGUAACAUCCGGGGCUAAAUUAUCAUUAAAUGUCAAAUAUAAACAUAGAGACAGAGUAAAAUUGUUUAAUAUUAGCAGGGCGUAGACAUAACUCCUACCGUUCACCAGCUCUCUUUGCCGCUAAUGAACUAUAAUCAACUUUAAUUAUAUAAGUACAUCAGCCACUCAGGUUACUGUACAGAAUUCAAAGAGAACUACUACCGUUGACCGGCUACCUUUGGCGCCACCGAUCUAAACAGUGAACUUCUACAAGUACAUGAGCUCUUCAGGUUACUAUACAGAAUUCAGAUAGCUUAAACCGUUCACCAACUCUCUUCGGCGCUAGUGAAUUAAAUGGUGAACUUCUGCAAGUACAUCAAGUCAUUGAGAUUACUGGACAGAAUACAAAAACAGCUACUAUUCACCAUCUCUCUUUGGCGCUAAUGAUCUAAACAGUGAACUUCUACAAGUACAUCACUUCAGGUUACUGUACAGAAUUCAAAGACAGCUACAACCAUUCAUCGGCUCUCUUAGGCGCUAGUGAACUUAUCAGUGAACUUCUACAAGUACAUCACUUCAGGUUACUGUACAGAAUUCAAAGACAGCUACAACCAUUCAUCGGCUCUCUUAGGCGCUAGUGAACUUAUCAGUAAACUUCUAUAAGGACAUCAGUCAUUCAGAUUACUGUACAGAAUACAAAGUGAAGCAACAUUACACACGAUCUCUAUUUUAUAGAGAGAUUCGGCAUUAUGUUGUACUACAAUACAAGUCAAUAUGCACCACAGAUUCAACCAUAUAUAAUGCUCAACAUCAAUCUAACAGUUAUGCCUAGUGCAUAGUCACCAUGGUGUGCUUCUCACAAAAAUAACAAAGCAAAUCUAUUAUAAGACACUAUUGUGAGUCACUCUAUACUGAUUCGGCUGAUUAUACCAACAUUUACUUGCUCGUCGUGUUUUCAGGAGUAUAUUGACAGACCAGAAGGAAAGGGAGGGAUGUUCAAGCAAUUAUCAAAACAUAACUUUUUUUUUUUGCUAUUGAGAUUCAAAGAUUGCUUUUUUGUUUUCAAUUUUAAUUUAAUGGAUUGGUUUCAAGUCACCAAUGAAAUAUUUCAUUUUACCUACAUGUUCCGACAAUCAGUAAACAAGAAACUUGUUUUCUGUUGAGCUUAAACUUAAAUAGAUAAA
Long non-coding RNA from Pecten maximus, 2356 nucleotides. RefSeq lists it as uncharacterized. Lineage: Eukaryota; Metazoa; Mollusca; Bivalvia; Pectinida; Pectinidae. The transcript has 2 exons. The record is from RefSeq and is a predicted model, not a curated record.